Camellia sinensis is the source of this 1298-nucleotide non-coding RNA. The record is from RefSeq and is a predicted model, not a curated record. Lineage: Eukaryota; Viridiplantae; Streptophyta; Magnoliopsida; Ericales; Theaceae.
GGUGUUCUAAAGUAGAGGCAAUGUUUUGUUAAAAAAAAAAAAGGCAGAGGCAAUGUGUCUUAUUAUGGGAAUUGAUACCUAAAGGGACCAAUGUCAUUCAAUGUUGAAAUUAUGGAUUAAGAACCCAAGAAACUCAUAAAUUAGUGGCAGGUAGAUAAUAGUUAAGUAGAGCAAUUUAUUAAUAAUAAAAAAGAACAUGGCAUAGUCAAGCUUUGUUAUGUAAUUUACCCAUAAGUUGGGUAAUGACAUUUUCUAAAUUUGAAGGGCUUUAAUUGACAAAUUUACAAUAUCAUGUUGGUUUUGCAGGCAUAUUUUGUAACUAACAUGGAGCCAAUCAAGUUUUGGUAGUUUGUCUCACUUGUUUUUAAAGGUCUUGUCCUUGUCUUUUCUAGGUAACUCUCGGCUUUGGGUGGUUGUUGAACGCUUGUGUGAUGUUAUAUAGAUUAGGUUGUUGAAGGCCUGGUGGGUUGUGUGGCUAUUUUGUUCCUAUGCUUUGUUGAAGUUCUACAUCAAGUGUAGUUCUACUUUGUUCCUCUGCUGUUGGUUUGAAUAAUGGGUGUGGUGUGUUUGUUGGGUGUGGCGGCUGCUGCUGUCGGAUAUAGAAGAAGUGUGGAAGCUACUGUAUUGAUGUAAUGUUUUGUUAGUGAUUUGAGUAGGACUAGUUCUCUUUGGGCAUGUGUAGGGUAGCAAAGCUGUGGAGCACAAAUGAUUUGAGUCUCGCUCAAGUAGAGAAGCCAUGGAAAUUAUGGUUGCUUGCUUUGCAAUGGCUUUAGCAAAAAGAGAACAAUAAAAAAGGAGGAAAUAACCAAUCACUGGAGAGCUCUUGGGACAAGUGGAAUCGUGGAGGUAUAAUAGGUGCAGCUGCAUUAACUAGAGGAACCUUAAUGGCAAUUACUAGUGAUAUGACAUCUUCAGCUUAGGCUUUUGAACAUUUUAAAUUCCAUAGGCGAACAAGCUUCUAAUGACAUGAGUGUUUUUUCCUAAUGAAUUCAUAUUUUAUUAGCAACGAGGUUAGCUGCUCUAGCUACUGUUGCGGGUUUAGGUGCCUUAGCACAUAUAUUGCGCACCCUCGUCCCUGUGAUAGGAGCAAGCGGGUUUGCUACAGCUGCAACUGUUGCCAGUAGUUUUGGAUAAUCUCUAAAUAGUUUUGGAUAUGUUUAAAAACCUAGAUAUGCACAAUUUUUGCUCUUUAUACAGUUUAGAACUUAAGGAUAUAGUUUUUGAAUAUUUGGAAUGUAUAGACAAUUGUUGAAUGUUCAUAAUUUAUGAAUAUAGUUUCUUUUUUAUGCUUGAAACAA